CCUGGUUGAUUCUGCCAGUAGUCAUAUGCUUGUCUCAAAGAUUAAGCCAUGCAUGUCUAAGUAUAAGCAAUCAUACUGUGAAACUGCGAAUGGCUCAUUAAAUCAGUUAUCGUUUAUUUGAUAGUACCUUUACCUGGAUAACCGUGGUAAUUCUAGAGCUAAUACAUGCUAAAAACCCCGACUUCGGAAGGGGUGUAUUUAUUAGAUAAAAAACCAAUGCCCUCUGGGCUCUUUGGUGAUUCAUAAUAACUUAACGAAUCGCAUGGCCUUGCGCCGGCGAUGGUUCAUUCAAAUUUCUGCCCUAUCAACUUUCGAUUGUAAGAUAGAGGCUUACAAUGGUAUUAACGGGUAACGGGGAAUUAGGGUUCUAUUCCGGAGAGGGAGCCUGAGAAACGGCUACCACAUCCAAGGAAGGCAGCAGGCGCGCAAAUUACCCAAUGCUAAUUCAGCGAGGUAGUGACAAUAAAUACUGAUACGGGGCUCUUUCGGGUCUCGUAAUUGGAAUGAGUACAAUCUAAAUCCCUUAACGAGGAACAAUUGGAGGGCAAGUCUGGUGCCAGCAGCCGCGGUAAUUCCAGCUCCAAUAGCGUAUAUUAAAGUUGUUGCCGUUAAAAAGCUCGUAGUUGAACCUUGGACCUGGCUGAUCUGUCCUCCUAAUCGAGCGCACGGAUUCGGUCGGGUCUUUCCUUCUGGGGAGCCCUAUGCCCUUCACUGGGUGUAGUGGGGAACCAGGACUUUUACCUUGAAAAAAUUAGAGUGUUCAAAGCAGGCCUUUGCUCGAAUACAUUAGCAUGGAAUAAUAGAAUAGGACAUCGGUUCUAUUUUGUUGGUUUCUAGGACCGCUGUAAUGAUUAAUAGGGAUAGUCGGGGGCGUCAGUAUUCAAUCGUCAGAGGUGAAAUUCUUGGAUUUAUUGAAGACUAACUACUGCGAAAGCAUUUGCCAAGGAUGUUUUCAUUAAUCAGUGAACGAAAGUUAGGGGAUCGAAGACGAUCAGAUACCGUCGUAGUCUUAACCAUAAACUAUGCCGACUAGGGAUCGGACGGUGGUUUUUUUAUGCCCCGUUCGGCACCUUACGAGAAAUCAAAGUUUUUGGGCUCGGGGGGGAGUAUGGUCGCAAGGCUGAAACUUAAAGAAAUUGACGGAAGGGCACCACCAGGCGUGGAGCCUGCGGCUUAAUUUGACCCAACACGGGGAAACUCACCAGGUCCAGACA
RNAcentral lists this ribosomal RNA (1214 nucleotides) under metagenome. Its description in RNAcentral is "SSU rRNA". It matches the Rfam family "Eukaryotic small subunit ribosomal RNA", at positions 3 to 1230 of the family's 1831-position model. The record is from RNAcentral.